GAUGAACGCUGACAGAAUGCUCAACACAUGCAAGUCGAUUCGAUUUACCUUCGGGUAUUGAGGAUGGCGGACGGGUGAGUAACGCGUAAGGAACUUGCCUCUUGGUCUGGGACAACUGUUGGAAACGACAGCUAAUACCGGAUAUUAUGAGAUUCUCGCAUGGGAAACUUAUGAAAGCUAUAUGCGCCAAGAGAGAGCCUUGCGUUCCAUUAGCUAGUUGGUGGGGUAACGGCCCACCAAGGCGACGAUGGAUAGCCGGCCUGAGAGGGUGAACGGCCACAAGGGGACUGAGACACGGCCCUUACUCCUACGGGAGGCAGCAGUGGGGAAUAUUGGACAAUGGGCCACAAGCCUGAUCCAGCAAUUCUGUGUGCACGAUGAAGGUCUUCGGAUUGUAAAGUGCUUUCAGUUGGGAAGAAGAAAGUGACGGUACCAACAGAAGAAGCGACGGCUAAAUACGUGCCAGCAGCCGCGGUAAUACGUAUGUCGCAAGCGUUAUCCGGAUUUAUUGGGCGUAAAGCGCGUCUAGGCGGAAAAAUAAGUCUGAUGUUAAAAUGCGGGGCUCAACUCCGUAUUGCGUUGGAAACUGUUUUUCUAGAGUACUGGAGAGGUGGGCGGAACUACAAGUGUAGAGGUGAAAUUCGUAGAUAUUUGUAGGAAUGCCGAUGGAGAAGUCAGCUCACUGGACAGAUACUGACGCUAAAGCGCGAAAGC
Molecule: ribosomal RNA, 714 nt
Filed under: uncultured prokaryote
Description: bacterial SSU rRNA
Rfam family: Bacterial small subunit ribosomal RNA
Source: RNAcentral